UAAACACUGUAUUUUCUCUGAAAAUACAGUGUUUACAUGAAAAGUCCUGCAGGGAUCUAUUGUACUCACCUCAACAACUCCAUUAAGAUGAAGUUGUUCGGGUGACUAUAGUGUCCCUUUAGUAUAAAUUUAAGAGAAAUGCAUCUCAUAAAAAGGUUAACACAAGGUAAAGGUAAUUUUCAAGGUUUAAUUCAAUUUGGCUAAUUCCAGUUCCCCUUUACUGUAAUAUCUACAUAUACUCAGUCGCAGGAUACUAUAUGAGCACUGUGCUCUUAGCCCAUCAUUAAAG
Non-coding RNA from Pelobates cultripes (western spadefoot toad), 289 nucleotides. The record is from the annotation of a GenBank genome assembly. Lineage: Eukaryota; Metazoa; Chordata; Amphibia; Anura; Pelobatidae.